CACGUAGGCGGCUUAUUAAGUCAGGGGUGAAAUCCCGGAGCUCAACUCCGGAACUGCCCUUGAAACUGCUAAGCUAGAAUCUUGGAGAGGCGAGUGGAAUUCCGAGUGUAGAGAUGAAAUUCGUAGAUAUUCGGAAGAACACCAGUGGCGAAGGCGACUCGCUGGACAAGUAUUGACGCUGAGGUGCGAAAGCGUGGGGAGCAAACA
Molecule: ribosomal RNA, 207 nt
Filed under: uncultured bacterium
Lineage: Bacteria
Description: partial 16S ribosomal RNA
Rfam family: Bacterial small subunit ribosomal RNA
Source: RNAcentral